RNAcentral lists this ribosomal RNA (351 nucleotides) under uncultured bacterium. Its description in RNAcentral is "bacterial SSU rRNA". It matches the Rfam family "Bacterial small subunit ribosomal RNA", at positions 22 to 356 of the family's 1533-position model. The record is from RNAcentral.
GCUCAGGAUGAACGCUGGCGGCGUGCCUAACACAUGCAAGUCGAACGAGGUAUUUUGAUUGAAGUUUUCGGAUGGAUUUCAAGAUACCGAGUGGCGGACGGGUGAGUAACGCGUGGGUAACCUGCCUCAUACAGGGGGAUAACGGUUAGAAAUGACUGCUAAUACCGCAUAAGCGCACAGUACCGCAUGGUACAGUGUGAAAAACUCCGGUGGUAUGAGAUGGACCCGCGUCUGAUUAGCUAGUUGGUGGGGUAACGGCCCACCAAGGCAACGAUCAGUAGCCGACCUGAGAGGGUGACCGGCCACAUUGGGACUGAGACACGGCCCAGACUCCUACGGGAGGCAGCAGUA